CCUACGGGAGGCAGCAGUGGGGGAUAUUGGACAAUGGGGGGAACCCUGAUCCAGCGACGCCGCGUGAGUGAAGAAGUAUCUCGGUAUGUAAAGCUCUAUCAGCAGGGAAGAAGAAAUGACGGUACCUGAGUAAGAAGCCCCGGCUAACUACGUGCCAGCAGCCGCGGUAAUACGUAGGGGGCACGCGUUAUCCGGCAUUACUGGGUGGACAGGGAGCGUAGACGGGGAUGUAAGUCUGGAGUGAAAGGCGGGGGCCCAACCCCCGGACUGCGCAGGAAACUAUGUGACUGGAGUGCAGGAGGGGGGAGCGGAAUUCCUGGUGUAGCAGUGAAAUGCGUAGAUAUUAGGAGGAACACGAGUGGCGAAGGCGGGUCCCUGGACUGUAACUGACGUUGAGGCACGAAGGCGUGGGGAGCAAACGGGAUUAGAUACCCCAGUAGUC
This 442-nucleotide ribosomal RNA is filed under the name uncultured bacterium. RNAcentral's name for it is "partial 16S ribosomal RNA". It matches the Rfam family "Bacterial small subunit ribosomal RNA", at positions 338 to 795 of the family's 1533-position model. The record is from RNAcentral.